GAUGAACGCUGGCGGCGUGCCUAAUACAUGCAAGUCGAGCGAACAGACGAGAGUGCUUGCACUCUCUGACGUUAGCGGCGGACGGGUGAGUAACACGUGGGUAACCUACCUAUAAGACUGGGAUAACUUGGGGAAACCGGAGCUAAUACCGGAUAAUAUUUAGCUUCGCAUGAAGCAAUAGUGAAAGACGGUUCUGCUGUCACUUAUAGAUGGACCCGCGGUGUAUUAGCUAGUUGGUGAGGUAACGGCUCACCAAGGCAACGAUACAUAGCCGACCUGAGAGGGUGAUCGGCCACACUGGGACUGAGACACGGCCCAGACUCCUACGGGAGGCAGCAGUAGGGAAUCUUCCGCAAUGGACGAAAGUCUGACGGAGCAAUGCCGCGUGAGUGAAGAAGGUUUUCGGAUCGUAAAACUCUGUUGUAAGGGAAGAACAAGUACGUUAGUAACUGAACGUACCUUGACGGUACCUUACCAGAAAGCCACGGCUAACUACGUG
RNAcentral lists this ribosomal RNA (499 nucleotides) under uncultured bacterium. RNAcentral describes it as "partial 16S ribosomal RNA". It matches the Rfam family "Bacterial small subunit ribosomal RNA", at positions 28 to 507 of the family's 1533-position model. The record is from RNAcentral.